UGCCCCAUGGCUGAGUUGGUUACAGCGUCCGACUGUUAAGUUAACAGCCGAAAUCGGAAGGUCGUGAGUUCGAGCCUCACUGGGGCAG
RNAcentral lists this transfer RNA (88 nucleotides) under Laccaria amethystina LaAM-08-1. It matches the Rfam family "tRNA". Rfam says of the family: Transfer RNA (tRNA) molecules are approximately 80 nucleotides in length. Their secondary structure includes four short double-helical elements and three loops (D, anti-codon, and T loops). Further hydrogen bonds mediate the characteristic L-shaped molecular structure. tRNAs have two regions of fundamental functional importance: the anti-codon, which is responsible for specific mRNA codon recognition, and the 3' end, to which the tRNAs corresponding amino acid is attached (by aminoacyl-tRNA synthetases). tRNAs cope with the degeneracy of the genetic code in two manners: having more than one tRNA (with a specific anti-codon) for a particular amino acid; and 'wobble' base-pairing, i.e. permitting non-standard base-pairing at the 3rd anti-codon position. The record is from Rfam by way of RNAcentral. Lineage: Eukaryota; Fungi; Basidiomycota; Agaricomycetes; Agaricales; Hydnangiaceae.